UUACGGUCAAAUCACGCUGAAAACACCGGUUCACGUUCGAUCACCGAAGUUAAGCAUCAAUGAAAGCGGAGUCCAGUACCAGAUGGGGUCCGCUUGGGAACACCUGGUACUGUAAG
Acanthosepion pharaonis is the source of this 116-nucleotide non-coding RNA. The record is from the annotation of a GenBank genome assembly. Lineage: Eukaryota; Metazoa; Mollusca; Cephalopoda; Sepiida; Sepiidae.